AAAUGAAGAGGUUGAUAAUAUAUAGGCAAUGACAGAUUGAUUCUUCAGUCUCUUUGAAGAAGGAAGCUGGCUACAGACUUGUUUAUACCUGAACAGAGUUGGAAUUGCUGUUUCAUAGACUAAAUCCAGUUGAAACUUGAAACGAAUGCCUCACAGUUAAAGAUAACAUCAAUUCAUAAAUUGGUAGCGUGUGGCAGUGGCACAUCCCAGAUCUUUCAGUUAAAGAUAACAUCAGUUCAUAAAUUGGUGGCCUGUGGCAGUGGCACAUGCCAGAUCUUUCAGUCCCAGUAUAAAAUCAAAAAGCUUUGGCGAACACUACUAUAGAUUGAUCAUAGGCCUCGAAACGACAGAGACUUGAGUACAUGUGAUGGCUGUGGCAUUUACUAACCUGUGGCUUACGUUAAGCCACUUACUGAACUUGAGCCAAUUCCUUCAUAAGAAAAGAAAAUAAGGACAUUGUUAAGUAUUUCGUAAGAAUUACAGAAAUUAUACUUAAGAACCUAAAACAUCAAAGUUCUACUGUAAGUGCAGUUUUAUAUAAAGCUAACAUGCCAUUACAUUUAAUAACAGAUAAAAUGGAAUUGUGUUUAAAAAGUGGUGUUAUUGACAUAGAGGACCACUUUUCAUUUUCUACUGUCCACAGAGUCAUCCUAAGAGCCCCCUAUGUGGCUAGAGAGUUCUUAAGGAGGAAUCAGUAUAAGCAGAUGAUUGGCAGGGCUGGGCGUGCUGGAAUUGACACUGUUGGAGAGAGCAUUCUUGUACUUCAAGAAAAAGACAAGCAGCAGGUUCUGGAACUGAUAAAUGGACCCCUGGAAAAUUGCUACAGCCAUCUUAUUGAGGAAUUCAGCAAGGGAAUCCAGAGUUUGUUUCUGUCUUUAAUUGGUUUGAAGGUAUUUUUAAAGAGGUCUUCUUAAAUGUGACAACUACUACCUGACAUAAUAUAAGUUUUUAAAAAUUCAGGCAA
RNAcentral lists this long non-coding RNA (964 nucleotides) under Cricetulus griseus (Chinese hamster). Its description in RNAcentral is "lncRNA (ENSCGRG00000026057.1)". Lineage: Eukaryota; Metazoa; Chordata; Mammalia; Rodentia; Cricetidae. The record is from RNAcentral.